This 7627-nucleotide long non-coding RNA is filed under the name Paramuricea clavata. The record is from RNAcentral. Lineage: Eukaryota; Metazoa; Cnidaria; Anthozoa; Malacalcyonacea; Plexauridae.
CGCAGAUUGCCAUUCAGGUAAGUUUUACACACAUCUAUUCUAUUUGUUGUAAAGCGCUAAGUGUAACACCGCAAGGUUCAAAUUCUUGGAUUUAAUUUCUUGCUAGUUUCGCGAAAACAUAAUUACUCAUUUGAAUGCUCAGUACAAUCAUGACAAAUUGAAUGAUAGAUUGUCACUCGCCUAUUGUAUACGCUCAAUGAGUCAUGUAUAUACGCGAGGCUUCACAAUCCGUCAAUUCGCGAAUGAACGCAACUGAAUCGUGUUAGUCUUGUUCCAAACUGAGAACUGCCCUUCGGAAACAUAGAUUUAUCAUUAGCAUAUAUAGUCAAGCUGAAAGACAUCUGUAUUUCUAUAUAUUCCCAAGUUCUUCUGUACAAAAUACCUUUUACUUGUUCCGAAUGCAAAUCAAACGGAGAUAUUUUGCAAGAUAUUGAAAAGGAUUUUGCUCCUCCGAAAGUACCAAGGGCUACUUUUUGAAAUUGCUUUGACCUUUGUGUAAUCGUUAGUUUAUGUACUAAAGAUGUUUCUGCUUGCAAUAUGAAAACGUCAAAGGCAAAAUGAAAUAGUUUCCCCAUAUUACACCGGCCAUACAUUUAAAAGAACACGAAGUAAUACUGAUGUAGGCUACUUCUAAGCUGUUGUAUCGUGUUGUUAACGGUCCACGGCCUCCAAACUCCCUGUUGGGAAGGAGGCAGACUACGGAAAUAUGACUUAACCUUAAUAGUUAUCCAUUCAAACCAGCAUUCAAUAUUUACAGUCGAUUACUGAGCAGUCAUUCGCGAACCGUUUCUAUAUUAAAAACGGCGUAGAACCCCUAAUCAUCCAAAUAUUUUGAAUUCAACUAAACAUCCCACUCGAAGAUUCCAUUUGAAAAUUUAUCGCUAUAAUAAAAUCCUUGCUUGUGAAAGGUAAAGAAACGUAUGCGCUAAUUUGAACCAGGUGGAGCCGUUUACAGGCGUUGAUUUUUGGUUAAUUUGGGCAGCGAAUGCGCACGGUUUCUUGAGACAUAUAUAAGGAAUUAAGUUUUUUAUGCCCUCGUGGUCUUAAUCUCCCCCAAACCUCCGAAAUAUGGCUAGAAAAGGCGCUAAACGCAGCCAAAGGGCAACAUUUCGAGCAUGUGGUGUUACUUCGCAUUAUCGUAAUAUCAAGACUGGUAUGCCCACGUUGUAGACGUAAACACCUCAAAAACACGUCCCUCGUGCAUGUCAGGAUUUAAACAAGAUACAUUUUUCAACCUACCUCGCUGACGUGGGAUUAAUUUGGGAAGUAUUUCAGUCGAGAUUUUCAGCGGAUUUUAAAGGAUUUUUGUGAUAAGAUUUAUAGGAUUUUGAAAGAGUUUUCCCGGUUUUUAGCUCUUUUGUGGGACUUUUAAUGAUUUUUAACGAAGUUUUUGGAUUCGGAUUUGCAGCGAUUUCAAAAUUAUUAAAGUAGGAAUUUGAAUUUUCGAAAUUUUUUUUGAUUUUCGGGAAAGUGCAGGACGAGAAUUUUUUAGUAAUACACCCUCGGCGUAUCCAAUGUAAGGGCUGUUUUUCGGCUAGCAGCUCAUAGGUUAACCUGCUCGCAGCCCGAAAUUUCGUUCAAAGGAUUUCCGUUUCAAAUAGUUUCGGGUGGGGGCUGUGAGCAGGCUGUUCAUAGCCUCAUAGGUCUUGUUACCUUGACUAAUAAUAUUCCCUAUAAUUUUUUUUGCACUUCAAUCAUAUAUAUUUCAGCCCUUGUGGCAGUAUUAGACAGGCGAGGUAUCAAAGCCAAAGUAGAAAAAAACUUUUAAAAUUCAUAUAUUCUAAGUCAAACUAUAUGUCAAACUCGUUCCCAGGCUCUUUGCGCUUUGCUUCCCAAGAGCAAAGAGCCUGGGAACGAGGUUGACUAUAUGUCCCCCCAUAUGUCCCUUGCCUGCGAGCAGGUGGAAUAAUGUUAAUUCUAUUGUAGUUCAGGUAAGGCUGAUUUACACCAUCAAAGUUUCUGUGAUCACAGUAGGAAUUUUGCACAGGUAAAUUGAAUUCUAAGGUUUGAAGGAUUGGUAAGGAAUGUUUGAGCAAAUUGGCUUGGUGUUAAACAGUAAUUCCAUAUAAACAAUAUUUCAUUUAACAAAAAAAAGAAAUGGCAAUUUUUCCAAAAGCCUUGGGUUAUCUAGGGAAAGCUUGCCUGACAUUAAUAAAUACGUAUUUGCAUUGAAAUUAAUAAAUAUAGAGUGGCAACGAAACGUAUGAGAAUAAGAAUAAAAUAUAUCUUGACACACACAUAGCCAUGCACCUGCAGAAUUAACAGCGUCUUCCAUCUUUAUACAAGGUGAACAUUACCGCAAGGCAUGGCAGAAAAGUGUUCUUGAUUUUAACAAAAUCGUUUAGUGUUCACAAUAAAGUUCUGAACGAUUAGGAAAAGAUUAGCAUUUGUAUUUUGCGAAACGUCGGGAUGACCGUUCAAAAACUAUGAUAAACGCAUUUUGCUUGUUGAAUUUAACCAUUUGGAACCAAGUAAUUGUGCAGCGGAAGCAAAAAGAACAGCGCGAUGACUAAGCAGCAUAUCGGCCACAGUCAAAGAAGAAGUGACUGACAGUCUCACUGGUUGAACCACAAGAAUAUAAUGGCGAUGGCACGCAAUUUAUUAAGAACAAAUAAUGAUUUAAGGUACAAUGAAACAGGCGAAAUUAGGUUCCCUCAAACAUUUCUUACAAAUCCUUCCAUUCAAACUUAGAAUUCCUACUGUGAUCACAGAAACUUUGAUAGUGUCGUACACCAAGAUAAUUUCUGAAUGCGCCAGACAAAACUAGUCUUGAGCAUGAGACUUAGAUUAGAUUAGUCUCUUGAGGUUGGAGGAAACUUAAUAAUGAAGUUAAUUUUGGGAUAAAUUUGGUACGCCAAAGAUUAAAUAACCCCCAUAAAGCUAUUUAUAAGCAAUUAAUACACAAAAAAUGCUUUUAAUAUUCAACGUUCCGUGAUUUUCACACGCAUAUGGAGCUUGUUAUUGCAAAUCCCAACAAGCUGUUAUUGCAUCAUAUAUACUGAAGUAAUGAAAACGAUAUCUAAUUGGAAACUGUGUACACUUAAUUAAUGAGCCGGGCCCGUGUAUAGCACAUGUUACAUGUUGAAUCAUACACGUUCUAUAGUUUCGGAAUUGAACGCUGAAACUGUAAAAUCGUAGGCAGGAAUUCAGGAAAUAGAGUAUAAUUUAAGGUCUAUUUACACGAUACGACUGGUUGUAUACGGUUGUCAUUCUGGCGUAUGAAAACGACUGCCGACACCACCAUAUCCUGUUCAUCUAUGACUAUGGCGAAAGUUGAAAUGUAACAUUUUACACGUAUUUAUUUGAGUACAUACUCCAGGAUAAGAAUCGCAUACGAUUAAUUGUACUGUGUGGAUGGCCCUUUAGCAAACAUUCUUUCGUCAUAUAACACAAUGAGGUAAUAGAUAAAGGCAGCCAGACUAUUAAUUUCGUUGUGUUAUUGAUAACUGCACGUAUAAUUGCGCGAUAUCGAAGGCUGUCAAUCACAGCUGACAAACUUGACGAAUACAAAAUGAGGCAAGAGACGCUAUUAAACACUUGUUUUUGUGAAAAAGCAAUAUUGGCUUUAUUUCUAUUCCAUUUUUGGCAUGUUUGCAAGGUUUUGUUAAUUUGUUGUAUAAUCUGGAAGCCACAAUCAUAUUGCGAUGACAAAGCUGGCAGCAUUUGGAAUAAUUACGGCAGAGACUCGAUGAUAAAAGAACCUAUAAAUAUACUGCAGCUUUUUUGUAGUCUAGCACGUGCGAGACUUUUUCUCAACAAACUCACUGAUCUCAAAAAUCUAAAGUAAAGUGAUUAUUCAUCACGCAAAAACCCAAGCUGGCUGUAUGACAGUCAUGCAAAAUGCCCAAAAAGAAUUGUUCUAAUUAAAUAUACAAUAAUAUAGCUCGCGAAAUGUGACAAAUUUGGGAUUAAACAAUGCAAUCAACCAAUCAAAAAAAAAGUUUGCAGUAUAAUUUUAUAGCACAAGUCCGGUAAUGUGUUUUUAAAUGCUUUUUCAAAUUGAACUUGUUCCACAAAAGAAAUGUUUGAUAAAUAUUUGAUGAGAAAGAUUUUUUGUAAUCACGUUAAUUAAGAAUCAUUUUGUCCAAGUGUUUUGACUAUCUUUGUCCUGGAGGCGUGUGAACUUUAUCAUUUAUUUUGCAAUGCCAAUGAUAUUGCGGACUCAGUUUUGUGUAAAAGCCUUUAAAAGAUAAGAGAGAUGAUAAAACGGCCACACUUUUAUUAAACUACGCGUAUUUCCAGCUAUGUUUACACGCAGUGAUUUGUCGUGUACGAUUCGGAUUCUGGUGUAUGAAAAUUACUGCUGACGCCACAAUUCCUCUUCAUUUCGUUAUGAAUUUAGAAUAUGCGUGCUUAUUCCAUUACAAACGCGAGAAUACGUACAGCACAAAUCCCAGCGUGUAAAGGCUGUUUUCCACUUUAACCGUAUCGUAAUGUACCGUAGCAUUUUCUUUUGUGUCGAAGUCAUUACCCAGCGGGAAAAAUGACGUUUAUCCAACGUUGAAUCAACGUUGGAAAUGACCUUCCAGACGUUGGAUAGACGUUGAAAAAGGGUUGACUAUGCAAAUUGGAUCGACGUUACUGUUUCGACCUUGAAACAACGUUGAAAUUAGGUUGCCAAUCUCGUCAACAAUAAUUCAACGUUGAAUCCACGUUAAAACAACGUUGAGAUUGGUUCACAAAUCGACGUCGUACAUUUAACCAUGAAUGAACGUUAAUUCAACGUCUGUUGGCUGCUGUUAAACCAAUGUUUGUAAAACAACGUCAGAGCAACGUAGAUAUUAGGUUGUCGACGUCGCAACCUCUUUUCUACCAAAUUUCAACGUUGAAACAACGUCGUGUGCCCGGUGGGUAGUUCCACACUAGUGCUCAGGAAACAACGAAAUACGCUACGUUUCGGUACGAUUGAAGUGGAAAACUGGUUACGGAGAUCGAAAUCUACGAGAACGAUCAUCAUUUGUGCAGCAGUCACGCCAUAUUUGCCACUACGCUUAUAACUUUGGGCAAACUAGAAAACAUUGCCGUGGAAACUUUUGUUCAGUGUUUCUCGAAUGCAUGUGUUCUUAUUUGCACCUCUUGCGAGAACAAGAUCGCAAGCGUCAGUUUUGUUUUGGGUCGCCCAUUUUUGUGACCAGUAAAACCAGAGUGAAACAGAGAAAAACCAGGCCUGUCCAACAUACAUUAUGCAUGAUGGGAGAUCUUAGGGAAUCAUUAGAUCUUACUCAGUUCCUUAUGUGUCAUUUGAGAUUGUGAAAUGUUGAUCUCAAACUCAUUAUUAAUUCAUGAGUAAAUUAGCCAACCAUAUCACUUUAUUUUGCUCACAUAAUAAUACUGGAUACCCGGUGAAGUACAUUGUUCCAGUCCUAGGACUGGGUCAAAAUUAAUGCAGUCCUUGGACUGGAUCAAAAUUAAUUAACCUCACUUUAAGUAGUAGUGAUUUAUUCCGCGUAUGAGAUGUCAUUUCAAUUCCUCCAAUACUGACUGGACUAGAUUUCAAGUUCUCGCAUUUUGAUCCUGUCCUCGGCUUCGCCUCGGAUUUGAUCAAAUUGCGCGGACUUGAAUUCUAGUCCAGUCUUCAUAGUCAGAUUUGAAAGAUUACGUCAACAUACUAGGUAGUCAACAUACUAGGUACUGUGCAUGCCAAUUUCAGUAAGAUUUCCCGUUGUGAUUUCUGAGAAAUUGCGCGGAGUUGAAAUCUAAUCCAGUCCUCAUAGCCGGAUUUGAAAUAUUACUUCAAUGUUCAAAUUUGGCGUAAUGUACAGACAACUUUUCCAUUGCUUUUUUAUGCACUUUUGAGGAAAAUUUAUAACAGGCAAAUUGAGGAUCCAAGGAAGAUUAAACACUUUAUUCAGGUGUGAAAAACUACCACGAACAAUUUGACUAAAAAUGGAGCAAUUUCGUCGGCGCAAAAGGCGUAGUUGUUUGUAGUAAAUAUUAUGUUGGGAUAAAGUUGGAAAGAUUUUCUCGUAAUAUUAAUCCCACUCCAAUCCUUGCAACUAUAAAUUAAUUCUUAAUCAUUUUACUAGACUGUAUACAAAGAAGAACAGACAUCCUGACACUCCAUAUCGCCGCUGAAACCGUAAACCGAUAAAAGACUGGUACUAAUCAUGGCGGGAAAUGUGACAUCAUCUGUGCCAUCCAGCACAUUAACAUUGCCAUUCACGCCUACCACGUACAGCAACCAGACCAUAACCAACACCUCCAUGGUGCCUGGAAAAAACAACACCUUGUCACCUCAUUUGGUCUACUCGGAAUCGUAUAAAAUCAUCAGCGCAACAAUAAUCUUUGCCAUCAUGGCAUUGGCCAUUUUUGGUAAUGUCUUGGUUAUCAUGGCAUUUCGCAAAUACCAUAAGCUCCGUACUGUGACUAAUUAUUUCGUCGUAUCCUUAGCUGUCAGUGACAUCCUCAUAAGCAUGCUCUCGAUGCCAACAUGGGCUAUACACGUCGUCACAGGACCAGAUCCAAAAUGGGAAAAAAUUGACCAAUCUGCGUUCGUGAUUUGGACUCUAUCUGAUAUCGUCUGUGGCCUAACCAGUAUUUUUAACCUCACCUGCAUCAGUAUUGAAAGAUAUAUCUGCAUUUCCUCGCCACUUCGCUACUACCAGCGCAUGCGCGGACGACGUGCCGUUAUUAUCAUUAUUUUUAUUUGGAUUUUCGCUGUAUUUCUGGCCGCCGCCCGAGGCAUAUUUCGAAAUACUGUUGUAGUUUUCGAAGUGAUGUACACCGUUAUCGGGUUCUUCAUUCCUUUAUUGAUCAUGGUGGUAAUGUACUCGAUGAUCUUCCGCGUGGCUUGUAAACAAGUGAAGAAAAUGGAUAUCCCCAUGAACGGCACAACCAAGAAAUUCCGCUUGAGGAAAGAGAUAAAGGCAGCGAAGACUUUAGGCAUUGUCAUUUCAGCGUUCUUUGUGUGUUGGAGCCCGUUCUUCGUGCUCAAUUUCUACGCAAUCUGUGGCAGUUGUUACCGCUCGUUGCGCAGUGAUAUUAUCAUUGCAGCGAAGUGGUUCCAUUAUGUAAACAGUGUAUUAAACCCGUUAAUAUACGCCAGAAUGAAUAAGGACUUUCGAGAUGGCUUUACACGUAUUCUGCUGCAGUGUGCGAUGAAUGUUGGGAUACGUGAGAACAUCAAUGAAACGGAUUUACCAGCGUUGGAUCGUAGAUCAUCAUCAGUCCUAACUGCCGCAGGAAGACGAAGAAAAUCCAGUACUCACGUUCAUGGGAGUUUUAGUACAACAUGAAAGAUUGACAACAUGAACACUUGUCUUUCGCGGCAAACAUAUUUUGUGCAUCACUCGAGCACUGUUCUUUGUGCUGUAGUCAAGUAUUGACAAACAUUUUUUUUUAACACUUCAACAGUUUGGGUGAAACAUCUUCGUACAUUCUCAUCCGCACAUUUAUUUUAAGCACUGUUUGCUUCAACAGAAACUGUGGACACUUCUACGAGUUUAGACGAAAUGUCUUACCACAUUUUCAAUUGAGCACUUAACCAUAUGAUGAAUGUCAAGGACUUUCAAGUACGAUUUGUACAAAGACGGUCUGAGUAUAUAAACUUGAUCUUUUCCCCAAUUGUUGAAAUAUAAUUAAGCUGGCUAGAGGCGUUGAUCUACGGGGGAAUUUCACAUUGGCAAUG